CCAGACUCCUACGGGAGGCAGCAGUGGGGAAUAUUGCACAAUGGGGGAAACCCUGAUGCAGCGACGCCGCGUGAGCGAUGAAGUAUUUCGGUAUGUAAAGCUCUAUCAGCAGGGAAGAAAAUGACGGUACCUGACUAAGAAGCCCCGGCUAACUACGUGCCAGCAGCCGCGGUAAUACGUAGGGGGCAAGCGUUAUCCGGAUUUACUGGGUGUAAAGGGAGCGUAGACGGCUGUGCAAGCCAGAUAUGAAAGCCCGGGGCUCAACCAUGGGACUGCUUUUGAAACUGUCAAACUAGAGUACGGGAGAGCUAAGAGGAAUUCCUAGUGUAGCGGUGAAAUGCGUAGAUAUUAGGAGGAACACCAGUGGCGAAGGCGGUCUGCUGGACAGCAACUGACGGUGAGGCGCGAAAGCGUGGGGAGCAAACAGGAUUAGAUACCCUGGUA
RNAcentral lists this ribosomal RNA (444 nucleotides) under uncultured bacterium. RNAcentral describes it as "bacterial SSU rRNA". It matches the Rfam family "Bacterial small subunit ribosomal RNA", at positions 331 to 792 of the family's 1533-position model. The record is from RNAcentral.